This 483-nucleotide ribosomal RNA is filed under the name uncultured bacterium. Its description in RNAcentral is "bacterial SSU rRNA". It matches the Rfam family "Bacterial small subunit ribosomal RNA", at positions 27 to 507 of the family's 1533-position model. The record is from RNAcentral.
GAUUGAACGCUGGCGGCAUGCUUUACACAUGCAAGUCGAACGGUAACAGGCCGCAAGGUGCUGACGAGUGGCGAACGGGUGAGUAAUGCAUCGGAACGUGCCCAGUCGUGGGGAUAACGCAGCGAAAGCUGUGCUAAUACCGCAUACGAUCUAUGGAUGAAAGCGGGGGACCGUAAGGCCUCGCGCGAUUGGAGCGGCCGAUGUCCCAUUAGCUAGAUGGUAAGGUAACGGCUUACCAUGGCGACGAUGGGUAGGGGUCCUGAGAGGGAGACUCCCCCACACUGGUACUGAGACACGGACCAGACUCCUACGGGAGGCAGCAGUGAGGAAUAUUGGACAAUGGGCGCAAGUCUGAUCCAGCCAUUCCGCGUGCAGGACGAAGGCCUUCGGGUUGUAAACUGUCUUUUGUACAGAACGAAAGGUCUCUAUUAAUACUAGGGGCUCAUGACGGUACUGUAAGAAUAAGCACCGGCUAACUACGUG